GCUCAACAUCUUCAUUUUGAACCAUACGCUUGUCUGCAGGCUGCAAAAAUUAACUUCUCAAAUUGUAACCACAAUGUAUGGAAAACUCAGGAUAGUAGAGCAACGAGCGCCUCAGAGAAUCCCAAGCUUCUUGCACCAUUGGAUUAGGCUCAAAUGUAGUGCUUGAUCUUAGGAUUUUAUGAUCUGACAUGACUUACUAAGAUUUUGGUUGGCGGUUGAUUUUGAGAUGAAACCAAUGAUUAUGAUCAAAUGUUAUUUUGAAAGAACUAAAUUGAAUUGAAAUCUUGCUCAUAAAUUGCUAUCCAAACAAGCCUUGCAGAGUUCUUACCUCAGAAAUUGAACAUGGAGUAAGAGAAAUUCAGAAGUCGAUUGACAUGGCAGUAAUUGAUGAUCUUUGAGUUGAGUUCACUGGAGACGAUGGUUGACUGUUUGCAAUUUCGCGGCAAUUUGCAAAUCGGGUUGGAUUGGAUCAUUUCCAGUUUGAAUUAUUUUGGGCUGCUUUUUUCUUUUGGGUUGGAUUUCGGUUCAAGUUGCUACUAGGGAUGGUCAUGGGGCGGAGUGGGGAUGAUUUGAGGAUUAUUUACAAAUAUGGUUACCAUCAUACGCUUCAAAUGGAACUUUAUCAUUUUUUUUUUGAUAAUUGGGGAGGGGGAGCGCUUGUGGGAGAAAUCGAACCCACGACCUAGCAGUUUGCUGCCUAACGCUUAUACCAUUUGAGGUACAGCUCAUUGGUUGGAACUUUAUCAUUUAUAUUCUCUUUUAACUGUUAAUUUUGCAAUUGUACGGUUUUAUCAUGUUACUAUAUAAACAAGGCUUGUCCACCUCAUAUUUGAUGCCUCUAAUUUUAAUCAAUAUAACGUCAUAUUAUAAUAUGUAAUCAUUACCAACGAGCUAUAGCUCAAAUGGUAUAAGCGCUGGCAGCAAACUGCUAGGUCGUGGGUUCGAUUCCUCCCAUAAGAGCUCCCCCUUCUCAAUUAUUAAAAAAAAAAUAUAAUCAUUAAAUUAAUUUUUGAGAAACAAUAGUGCUACUUGCAUAGUUGAUCUAAUAUAUUUAGUUUAGUUUUUUUUUA
Molecule: long non-coding RNA, 1070 nt
Organism: Mercurialis annua (annual mercury)
Lineage: Eukaryota; Viridiplantae; Streptophyta; Magnoliopsida; Malpighiales; Euphorbiaceae
Exons: 2
Source: RefSeq, a predicted model, not a curated record